AAGCGCAGGAGAUUUUUUAAUGCUCUCUAGGUGAUUCUAAUGUCAGCAAAGAUGGAGAACCACUGAUGUAGUCAGUGAGAAGUAAUAGGGGCUAUUUUUCAGAACAGCGUUUUGAGUUAAUUUGAAAGGAGGGAAAAUCUCAGGGCGAAGGUUAUUGUGGUGAGGUUAUAAGGUGAGGUCAAAGGUUAGCAAGGAGGUCUGGGUGGGCAUGGGGUCAGUUACACAGUAUGCUCUUAAAUGAUAGCGGGUAAAGUGAGCUGAACUUAAUCUGAAAAAAAAGCAAAAAAAGGAGUUCUGGCAUCCUAAGGUGGUGUUCAGCAAAGGGCAGUGUCAGGACAGUACCUCAGCUGAAGACCUUCAGGUCCAUGGAAGACAGUGCAUGGAUUAUUCUGAAGAAUGACUUUCCGACAAUCUGCCCCCAGCUGUGUGUUGCAAUGCACGUGGCGGAGCUGCGCUUCCAAAGAGGCUGGCUCAGUGGGGCUGCGGUGAUGUCUCCUUCCAGGUCCCAGCAUGGAUGACCCUGUUCUUCUUGGAGAUAUUGCUGCUCUUUCCUGGAUCAUCUUGGAGAGGUUCCAUCGAGACUCCCUGGGCUCACUUGGAACUCAUUACCAAAUGUCUAUGCCUCCACGCCUGUCCCCUCAGCCCGCACAGACACAGCCAGCAGCCCAGAACUGCCAGCUGGCUCACCACCGAAAUGAGGGUGAGCACCGGUAAGGAAAGAAAGCCAUCCAAGGCGUCACUUCCCUGCCCUCCUCAGAGAGGACAGCCGGGCCAUUCUCGUGAUUAAACCGACUAACCACCCCCGCCGGCUCUGUGAUGGCUUCUCCUGACCAUGGUGGUUGCUGAUUAAAGAGAAGCUGGAUUUUCUUAGAAGAAACUUAAAACUAUAUAGAGAAAGAGAGAUGGGGUGAGGGCCUCAACUGCAAUGUUCUUGGUGGGAACCACAGUUUCCUCAACCCAUCUUCACUCUCAUGACACCCAGCGCCCCAGACGCCCAGGAGACAGCCCAGAGGACACAUGCUAUUGCCCAGUAAGUGCACGUGUCUUGGGGGCACAGCGCUCUAGCCCUGCUCUCACCCAGCUUGUAUGGAUUCCUCCUGAGUGUCAGGCACCAUGCUGGGCCCUGAGGGCAAAAGCGAGCUGUGUCAGGCUGCAUCUCCCACUGGGAGGCUGGCCAGCACGCUGGGAGCGUAUCAGGGAGGGUUUCAGGCAAUCCUCCCAGGUUCUUCCAUGCUGCAAAGCCACCUGUGUGUCUUGCUUUAUAGACUGCAGAACUGCAGCUCGGCCUCAAAGGCUACCGUGUGUCCCUCGGGCUUGGGAGCAAUGACCUGUGUGCUGGCAGCUCUCCCAGCAGGAAUAGGAAGGCUGUACUUCAAAUACGGUUUCCUGUAAAAAAAAUAAUAAUAAUAAUAAUUGAAAUCAGGCAUUACCCUGGUGUUUACCAUCUGUGUGCCUGCCUUUUGUGGCCUGGACUCUUGGCUCUCACUGGAGUUGCUGCUGAAAAGCUGAUGACUCAGCAUAGCAGUGGCUCAGGAUUUCUGUGUGGGGGGUGGCAUUGUGGUCAAGGGUAGGGCUCCUGUUUAUUGGGCACACUGGUUAUUUGGGGGAUGCUGAUGGAGACUGUGGGAGGGUUCAACCCUCUCCCACCACCCCCACCUUGGCAGCUCCCCAAACGGAGCCUUUGUUCCAGGAGCAAAGGCAGCCCUGGGGGUCAGGAGAGCUGCAGCCUGGUUCCGGGUCUAAUUAGCUGCGGGACUUUGCACGACCCCAGAAUUUUUCGAAGCCUUGGGAUUCCCAUCUGUAAAGAGAUUGGGUUUGGACCACGUCGUCUCUAAAAUCCCUCCCAGUGAUUCUAGGCCUUGGAGGAAGGAAACUGUAUUGGAGAUACGGUCCCCAACCCUGAAAAAGCUAAUGAUGGUGAAAAUAUAGCUCCAAAGAAAAAUCGCAUGAAACAACAAAUGGCGAAAGUAACGAGUUCCUGCUUUUUGUCCACUAACAUCUAUCACCACUACUUCUGGCAACAGCCCCUAAUUUCCAUUUGGGAAGCUCAUGAGGUUCUGCUUGCAGGGGUGGAGGCCACAACCUAAAAUAUAUCCUGAGUCUGGCCACUUCUCACCAGCUCUACCGCUACACUUUUCCCAGCCACUACUGUCUGUCCCUGCUUCCCCCCACCCCGCCCUCUCCACACAGCAGCAAGGGGAUCUUUUCAUUGCUACCUAUUUAAUAUGUGUGGGGUUUUUUUUGAUUGAGACAUAAUUGACAUACAACAUUGUGUACGUUUAAGGUGUACAAUGUUGGUUGGAUACAUUUAUAUAUUUCAAUAUGAUUACUACUGUAGCAUUAG
Equus caballus (horse) is the source of this 2344-nucleotide long non-coding RNA. Lineage: Eukaryota; Metazoa; Chordata; Mammalia; Perissodactyla; Equidae. The record is from Ensembl.